UACGUAGGUGGCAAGCGUUAUCCGGAUUUACUGGGUGUAAAGGGCGUGUAGGCGGGAAAGCAAGUCAGAUGUGAAAACCAUGGGCUCAACCUGUGGCCUGCAUUUGAAACUGUUUUUCUUGAGUACUGGAGAGGCAGACGGAAUUCCUAGUGUAGCGGUGAAAUGCGUAGAUAUUAGGAGGAACACCAGUGGCGAAGGCGGUCUGCUGGACAGCAACUGACGCUGAGGCGCGAAAGCGUGGGGAGCAGACAGG
This 253-nucleotide ribosomal RNA is filed under the name uncultured bacterium. RNAcentral's name for it is "partial 16S ribosomal RNA". It matches the Rfam family "Bacterial small subunit ribosomal RNA", at positions 524 to 776 of the family's 1533-position model. The record is from RNAcentral.